This 541-nucleotide ribosomal RNA is filed under the name Bifidobacterium catenulatum. RNAcentral describes it as "bacterial SSU rRNA". It matches the Rfam family "Bacterial small subunit ribosomal RNA", at positions 146 to 698 of the family's 1533-position model. The record is from RNAcentral. RNAcentral also lists the same sequence under 1 other name. Lineage: Bacteria; Bacillati; Actinomycetota; Actinomycetes; Bifidobacteriales; Bifidobacteriaceae.
UCUCCUGGGAAACGGGUGGUAAUGCCGGAUGCUCCGACUCCUCGCAUGGGGUGUCGGGAAAGAUUUCAUCGGUAUGGGAUGGGGUCGCGUCCUAUCAGGUAGUCGGCGGGGUAACGGCCCACCGAGCCUACGACGGGUAGCCGGCCUGAGAGGGCGACCGGCCACAUUGGGACUGAGAUACGGCCCAGACUCCUACGGGAGGCAGCAGUGGGGAAUAUUGCACAAUGGGCGCAAGCCUGAUGCAGCGACGCCGCGUGCGGGAUGACGGCCUUCGGGUUGUAAACCGCUUUUGAUCGGGAGCAAGCCUUCGGGUGAGUGUACCUUUCGAAUAAGCACCGGCUAACUACGUGCCAGCAGCCGCGGUAAUACGUAGGGUGCAAGCGUUAUCCGGAAUUAUUGGGCGUAAAGGGCUCGUAGGCGGUUCGUCGCGUCCGGUGUGAAAGUCCAUCGCUUAACGGUGGAUCUGCGCCGGGUACGGGCGGGCUGGAGUGCGGUAGGGGAGACUGGAAUUCCCGGUGUAACGGUGGAAUGUGUAGAUAUC